Molecule: long non-coding RNA, 278 nt
Organism: Xyrauchen texanus (razorback sucker)
Lineage: Eukaryota; Metazoa; Chordata; Actinopteri; Cypriniformes; Catostomidae
Exons: 3
Source: RefSeq, a predicted model, not a curated record
AAGAGAUAUUAAUUUCAUUCACUCACCCUCAUGCCAUCCCAGAUUGUUUUUCUUCUUCAGAACAAAAUCGAAGAUUUGUUGAAGAAAAGCUCAGCUCUGUAUCUCCAUACCAGGCAAGUGAAUGGUGACUAGAACUCCAAAAGCUACAAAAAGCAGCUUUUUGAAGGCUGGUAUUCCGGUCGAGAAGGUCCGUGAUGUCACUAUUGGCAUUGGAAUUAGCAUCAGAGGUUCUCACCUCCAUAACCUGUGGCCUGUUCAUUGAUAGUGUCGGGAGGAGG